CAUGUAGGCGGCUGUGCAAGUCGUGUGUUAAAGCCCCCGGCUCAACUGGGGGAGGUCAUGCGAGACUGCGCGGCUGGAGGACAGUAGAGGCACAUGGAACUCCCGGUGUAGCGGUGGAAUGCGUAGAGAUCGGGAAGAACACCCGUGGCGAAGGCGGUGUGCUGGGCUGUUUCUGACGCUGAGAUGCGAAAGUGUGGGGAGCAAACG
RNAcentral lists this ribosomal RNA (207 nucleotides) under uncultured bacterium. RNAcentral describes it as "partial 16S ribosomal RNA". It matches the Rfam family "Bacterial small subunit ribosomal RNA", at positions 568 to 774 of the family's 1533-position model. The record is from RNAcentral.